Molecule: ribosomal RNA, 432 nt
Filed under: uncultured bacterium
Lineage: Bacteria
Description: partial 16S ribosomal RNA
Rfam family: Bacterial small subunit ribosomal RNA
Source: RNAcentral
AACGAACGCUGGCGGCAUGCCUAACACAUGCAAGUCGAACGAGACCUUCGGGUCUAGUGGCGCACGGGUGCGUAACACGUGGGAAUCUGCCCUUUGCUUCGGAAUAACAGUUAGAAAUGACUGCUAAUACCGGAUGAUGUCGAAAGACCAAAGAUUUAUCGGCAAAGGAUGAGCCCGCGUAGGAUUAGGUAGUUGGUGGGGUAAAGGCCUACCAAGCCGACGAUCCUUAGCUGGUCUGAGAGGAUGAUCAGCCACACUGGGACUGAGACACGGCCCAGACUCCUACGGGAGGCAGCAGUGGGGAAUAUUGGACAAUGGGCGAAAGCCUGAUCCAGCAAUGCCGCGUGAGUGAUGAAGGCCUUAGGGUUGUAAAGCUCUUUUACAGGGAUGAUAAUGACAGUACCUGGAGAAUAAGCUCCGGCUAACUCCGUG